GUGGGUGGCAGCACAAGCACUUAAGCCAUAUAGCGCUACUGUUCUACUGCAGGUUCAGAAGAAAAUUGUAAACAUCCUUCAAGAAUCAAACAUUCAGGAGAUACUGCGUCGUUUUAUUAAAUGUAUGUUUAUUUAAUGUUUAUUUGCGGAUGACAUACAUUUUUCAAUUAAUAGCACUGAAUGUACUGCAGUAAGGUUUUUCGUAGAGGGCGCUUUUACAUUUAUUACUGAAUACAAAACUCUACCACACGUAAACUGCAGCAGCCACUCCUGAUCGCUGAUAUGUGAGAAUAUCAUCAGUUCAUUAAAGGUGGUUGCAUCUAUUUUUGGCUAUUUCACUAUGGCCACUCUGACGAGGCAGGACCUUAAUUUUGGCCAAGUUGUUGCUGACAUUCUCUGUGAGUUUUUGGAAGUGGCCAUUCACCUCAUCCUCUAUGUCAGAGAAGUUUAUCCAUCUGGUAUCUUUCAGAAAAGGAAGAAGUACAACGUACCCGUGCAGAUGUCAUGCCAUCCUGAGUUAAAUCAGUACAUUCAAGACACUCUCCAUUGUAUCAAGCCACUGAUUGAGAAGAAUGAGGCUGAGAAGGUUGUAGUGGUGAUCAUGGAUAAAGAGCACCAUCCAGUGGAGAGAUUUGUGUUUGAGAUCUCACAGCCUCCACUGCUGUCCAUCAGUUCAGAGACUCUGCUGUCCCAUGUGGAGCAGCUGCUGAGAGCAGUGAUCCUAAAAAUCAGUGUGUGUGACGCUGUUCUAGACAACAAUCCUCCAGGAUGUACAUUCACAGUGCUGGUACACACCAGGGAAGCUGCCACAAGAAACAUGGAGAAAGUUCAGGUCAUCAAGGAUUUUCCAUGGAUUGUAGCAGAUGAGCAGGAAGUUCACAUGGAAGAGGCAAAACUCAUUCCUCUAAAAACAAUGACUUCUGAUAUUCUCAAGAUGCAGCUCUAUGUGGAAGAAAAAACACAGAAAACCUGAUGAUGUGUUAGUGGAGCACAUGAAAGUAGCUGCAAGGGGUGUUAACUACAGGAAACAGGAAACAGUGUUUUUUUUUUCAUGUUGAUAACAGCCGUGGUAACAUAAAAGGAAGUAUAUUGAGCUGAACUGUGUGUCUUAUUAACUCAUCGAGACAAAAUGAUCACCUUUGGACCAGUGAUGAUUUUAUUAGUUCCCUGAUAUGUGUAUAUACUAUAAUCUCUCAAUACUCCUUUUCAUGAGAGUAGUACUUUGCAUGGCAGCAUGUAAUAAUGCAGAAUAUGAAAUUAAUGGAGAGUGUUGCCCAAUGUGUGAUUCAGGAAAGAGAGUUCAUAAGCAUUGUGAUGACAAUACAAGCACUACAUGUGAGUCGUGCCUUGUGACGACCUACACUGACAUUCCCAAUGGAUUGACCAAAUGCCUGCCAUGUUUAAUCUGUGAUGCAAGUAAUGGGCUGAGAGUAAAGCAGGAAUGUACAUUAAAAUCAAAUAGAGUGUGUGAGCCUCUGCCAGGUUAUCGCUGUAUAGACCUGCACUCAAACUGUCAAAAGGCCAAGAAACAUUCAACCUGCUCACCGGGACAAUACGUCAACCAAACUGGAACAGAAUUUAGUGAUACAGUGUGUGAUGACUGUCCUGCUGGUUCAUAUUCAAAUGGUACAAUCUGCAAAUUGCAUACAAAGUGUGAAUCUCUUCACAAAAUAACAGUCAAGGCAGGAACAGAGACGUCUGAUACUGUGUGCAGCGAUGAAAAACUUAUUUUACUGAUUGUAAUGUCUGUGAUUACAGUGUCAGUGUGUGUGGCGUUAACUGUCAUUGUUGUUGUUGUUCUUAAAAAAAAAAAAAAAAGCAAUAUCAAGUAACUCCUCCCUAAGAUUUGAACCUGCAUCCUUAAACUAUUUUUUCCAACGCAGUGUAAAAACAAUUUGUUUGCGAUGUGUUCAGAAACCAACAAUUAAAGUGAUCUGCUUAUGUUCAGUAAAUAAAAUGGAUAACUUUUGAAACCA
This is an RNA transcript of Megalobrama amblycephala (Wuchang bream), 1976 nucleotides long. It is a transcript of the gene named mitotic arrest deficient 2 like 2, with no coding region annotated. The transcript is spliced from 13 exons. NCBI's taxonomy places the organism in Eukaryota, Metazoa, Chordata, Actinopteri, Cypriniformes, Xenocyprididae. The record is from RefSeq and is a predicted model, not a curated record.